This 616-nucleotide ribosomal RNA is filed under the name uncultured Actinomycetales bacterium. RNAcentral describes it as "bacterial SSU rRNA". It matches the Rfam family "Bacterial small subunit ribosomal RNA", at positions 89 to 718 of the family's 1533-position model. The record is from RNAcentral. Lineage: Bacteria; Bacillati; Actinomycetota; Actinomycetes; Actinomycetales.
ACUCGAGUGGCGAACGGGUGAGUAACACGUGGGUGAUCUGCCCUGCACUUCGGGAUAAGCUUGGGAAACUGGGUCUAAUACCGGAUAGGAGCCAUCUUUAGUGUGGUGGUUGGAAAGUUUUUUCGGUGUAGGAUGAGCUCGCGGCCUAUCAGCUUGUUGGUGGGGUAAUGGCCUACCAAGGCGGCGACGGGUAGCCGGCCUGAGAGGGUGUACGGCCACAUUGGGACUGAGAUACGGCCCAGACUCCUACGGGAGGCAGCAGUGGGGAAUAUUGCACAAUGGGCGCAAGCCUGAUGCAGCGACGCCGCGUGGGGGAUGAAGGCCUUCGGGUUGUAAACUCCUUUCGCUAGGGACGAAGCUUUGUUGUGACGGUACCUAGAUAAGAAGCACCGGCUAACUACGUGCCAGCAGCCGCGGUAAUACGUAGGGUGCGAGCGUUGUCCGGAAUUACUGGGCGUAAAGGGCUCGUAGGUGGUUUGUCGCGUCGUCUGUGAAAUUCUGGGGCUUAACUCCGGGCGUGCAGGCGAUACGGGCAUAACUUGAGUGCUGUAGGGGUAACUGGAAUUCCUGGUGUAGCGGUGAAAUGCGCAGAUAUCAGGAGGAACACCGAUGGCGA